Molecule: small nuclear RNA, 160 nt
Filed under: Oryza punctata
Lineage: Eukaryota; Viridiplantae; Streptophyta; Magnoliopsida; Poales; Poaceae
Description: U1 spliceosomal RNA
Rfam family: U1 spliceosomal RNA
About the family: U1 is a small nuclear RNA (snRNA) component of the spliceosome (involved in pre-mRNA splicing).
Source: Rfam by way of RNAcentral
AUACUUACCUGGACGGGGUCUAUGGCCGAUCAAGAAGGGUCAUGUCCUAGGCUAGUGGCCCACAUUGCACUUGGUGGGUGCGCUGGCUUACCAUCUCCCCAAGUGGGAGAGUGGACGUCAUAAUUUGUGAUAGAGGGGGUACGCGUUCGCGCGGCCCCUG